This 895-nucleotide unclassified non-coding RNA is filed under the name Hevea brasiliensis (rubber tree). Lineage: Eukaryota; Viridiplantae; Streptophyta; Magnoliopsida; Malpighiales; Euphorbiaceae. The record is from RNAcentral.
UGCCUUACUUCAUUCAUUCAAUCUAGAAAUCUAAUCGUUUCUUCUCUUCGUUUUAUUUCACCAAGUGAAAGAACUAUUUGGAUCUUCUGACAGGAUAAUGUCAAAGAAAUGAGGAAAGUGGUGUAAGUGUUCGGUUUGUUCAAUUAGGUUGAUGAAAUCAAUAAAAUAAAUGAAUUGACAACGACGUAUUUGACAAGCAGAUGAAAAUCCAUAAGGAAAUUUUUAGAGAUCUGGAGAGCUCAAAGCGCCUGGGGAGAAUCCUACUUGAUGAGUCAUCACGUGUACCGAGAGUCUCUAUUUCAUCAGUCUGCUCUUCUCCAAAAGAAUGCCUUUCUGUUCUAUUGGGUCUACUGAGAAUUCCGACUCUUCACAUCCACGUGUUAGAGUAUCGCUGGAAUCACUGACCACCAUUUCUAUACUCGUCCUUGUCGAACCAUCAGCUGUGAUACCAUAUUUAAACCAUCGGUUUUGAUUACAUAUCUAACCAAAAACUUUAAGACAAUAGGUCUAUUGAUCCUUUCCACUUAUAUGUCUUUUACUCAUCCCAUCUUUUCCGAUGUGGGAAUUCCACACUUGUAUAUUUCCAACAGUUUUGUAUGUGAUAACUUUCAAUUGAGGGAUCAAUAGUAAAAAGGUUGACAAGUAGGGGAUGUCUAAAAGUUUUUUUCCAAAAAUGUUUGAUGACUUGAAAUCUCAUGUUCAAGUUCUUGUAAUGUUGGGGAUUCAAAGGACACUGGUAGCAUGGGCUUAUAGUUAGGGAAUAGAUGGAUUGCUAAUUCUUGAAUUUAGGAUCCACUAUUGUUCAGCCUCAUGGCUUAUCUUAAUUAUAAUUUAGAUUGGAUUUCCAAAAUGUUCUCUUACUUUACCUUUGUCUUUUGGCAGGGAGGAUUUGUUG